GAUGAACGCUGGCGGCGUGCUUAACACAUGCAAGUCGAACGGAAAGGCCAGUGCUUGCACUGGUACUCGAGUGGCGAACGGGUGAGUAACACGUGGGUGAUCUGCCCUGCACUUCGGGAUAAGCCUGGGAAACUGGGUCUAAUACCGGAUAGGACAAUGGUUUGGAUGCCGUCGUGGAAAGUUUUUUCGGUGUGGGAUGAGCUCGCGGCCUAUCAGCUUGUUGGUGGGGUAAUGGCCUACCAAGGCGUCGACGGGUAGCCGGCCUGAGAGGGUGUACGGCCACAUUGGGACUGAGAUACGGCCCAGACUCCUACGGGAGGCAGCAGUGGGGAAUAUUGCACAAUGGGCGCAAGCCUGAUGCAGCGACGCCGCGUGGGGGAUGACGGCCUUCGGGUUGUAAACUCCUUUCGCUAGGGACGAAGCGUAUUUGUGACGGUACCUGGAGAAGAAGCACCGGCUAACUACGUG
This 468-nucleotide ribosomal RNA is filed under the name uncultured bacterium. RNAcentral describes it as "partial 16S ribosomal RNA". It matches the Rfam family "Bacterial small subunit ribosomal RNA", at positions 28 to 507 of the family's 1533-position model. The record is from RNAcentral.